AUCAAGUUCAACUAACUGAUUUUUCAGAGAUAUUAAACCAAGUGAGUAACAGGCAUGUUGAAGCUAAUGAACAGAAUAGUGUAGUUAUAUCAUUUUUUUCAUGUUUUAUUAUCAUCUUCUGUCAUUUACUAUGAUCAGUGAACACCAGGUACUCUGUCUUUGCUAUUUAAUUUUGCUGUCUUUUAAUACGGACAUGCCCUCUUGACUUAUUAGUGAGCUCAGAGAAUGAAUCUGAAUCAGGUUUGAACCUUUCUCUUUUACCAUAAGAUUUUGUGUUUUAUCAUUUUUUAGUCUUAUUUUGAAUUUUAAGUCUUUCAAAAUACAAAAUUCAAUAUGAACAUUAUUUCAGACUAUUACCUCUUAUAGGAAUUCAUCUUUAUCAGUUUUGUUAAUUUUUAUAUUAUUUAAACACCUAAGGUUUGAUUAACUUUAAUACAUUUAACUUUUUAUAGCAUGUAGCUAGAAAUAAGAUAUAAGCAUUGUUGAACAACUGUUUAUAAACAUAAUUGCCUAUUAACUAUCCUCAAAUUAGCAUACAUUUACAUAUUGUUUUAUUAAAUUAUCCCUUUAUUCAGUCUAUAAAUUUUAUUUUUAAAAGUUCUUAAUUGCCAUAUGCUGUUUGUAGGCUGUAGGAAUUUAAAACAGUAUCAAAUGUUGUUGUCAGUUGUUCAAAAUCUAGUAAACUGCUGAGAGCCACCAACAUUCAACCCUAAUGAAAUGUGGCGAGAGAACCAGCAGUGACUCAGUGAUGCUGCAAAUUGAGUACAGCUGACUUCAUCCACACCACUCAGAAAGAAACUCCCAAGGGAAGCUACAGGAUCUCUAAGGGGGAAUUCUGGCUAAGCCGCUAAGCAGACACAAAAGCCUGAGAAGAAUUCACAUUGCCCAUCAUCUUAUAUAUGCAAAUCAGAAGAAAAGAGGAUGUUCCAACUGGCAGCACUGGAUGGACAGAUGACCUCAGAUCUUCAUUGCAUGAGAUUACCUCUUCCUUUUCAUAUUGGAAAACAAACUGUUUUCACACUGAAGAAAUAGCGACAUAAAAUAAGGCAUAAAAAUACCUUAAGUAAGUACUCUUUACUCUUUGAUGUGUAAUUAAUGAAAGGAACUUCGAACACUGACAUUUUACAACUUGAUAAACUGUUUUACCAAUGAGAACUGAAGCCACUGCCCAUGUUUUCAAUAUGUGUUUCAUAAAUUCUAUGGAAAUCCGCAUCUUAUUCCCUCACCCAUGAUAUUAUAGAAUACAUUUAUUAAUUUAUAUUUGAA
This 1266-nucleotide long non-coding RNA is filed under the name Mus spicilegus (steppe mouse). RNAcentral describes it as "lncRNA (ENSMSIG00000011490.1)". Lineage: Eukaryota; Metazoa; Chordata; Mammalia; Rodentia; Muridae. The record is from RNAcentral.